RNAcentral lists this ribosomal RNA (484 nucleotides) under uncultured bacterium. RNAcentral's name for it is "partial 16S ribosomal RNA". It matches the Rfam family "Bacterial small subunit ribosomal RNA", at positions 28 to 507 of the family's 1533-position model. The record is from RNAcentral.
AUUGAACGCUGGCGGCAUGCUUUACACAUGCAAGUCGAACGGCAGCGCGGGCUUCGGCCUGGCGGCGAGUGGCGAACGGGUGAGUAAUGCAUCGGAACGUGCCCAGUAGUGGGGGAUAGCCCGGCGAAAGCCGGAUUAAUACCGCAUACGACCUGAGGGUGAAAGCGGGGGACCGAAAGGCCUCGCGCUAUUGGAGCGGCCGAUGUCGGAUUAGCUAGUUGGUGGGGUAAAGGCUUACCAAGGCGACGACCCGUAGCUGGUCUGAGAGGACGACCAGCCACACUGGGACUGAGACACGGCCCAGACUCCUACGGGAGGCAGCAGUGGGGAAUUUUGGACAAUGGGGGCAACCCUGAUCCAGCCAUGCCGCGUGCGGGAAGAAGGCCUUCGGGUUGUAAACCGCUUUUGUUCGGGAAGAAAUCCUCUGGGCUAAUACCCCGGGGGGAUGACGGUACCGGAAGAAUAAGCACCGGCUAACUACGUG